GGGGGUAUAGCUCAGUGUUAGAGCUUUCGAUUGCAGAUCGAGAUGUCCUCGAUUCAAACCCGGGAGCUCUCU
Molecule: non-coding RNA, 72 nt
Organism: Trichonephila clavipes
Lineage: Eukaryota; Metazoa; Arthropoda; Arachnida; Araneae; Nephilidae
Source: the annotation of a GenBank genome assembly